Molecule: ribosomal RNA, 494 nt
Filed under: uncultured bacterium
Lineage: Bacteria
Description: partial 16S ribosomal RNA
Rfam family: Bacterial small subunit ribosomal RNA
Source: RNAcentral
GACGAACGCUGGCGGCGUGCUUAACACAUGCAAGUCGAACGGUGAAGCGCCUUCCUUUUUGGUGGGUGUGGAUGAGUGGCGAACGGGUGAGUAACACGUGAGUAACCUGCCCCCUUCUUCUGGAUAACCGCAUGAAAGUGUGGCUAAUACGGGAUAUUCUGGGUCUGUCGCAUGAUGGGUCUGGGAAAGAUAUUGUUUCGGUGGGGGAUGGGCUCGCGGCCUAUCAGCUUGUUGGUGGGGUGAUGGCCUACCAAGGCGGUGACGGGUAGCCGGCCUGAGAGGGUGGACGGUCACACUGGGACUGAGACACGGCCCAGACUCCAACGGGAGGCAGCAGUGGGGAAUAUUGCACAAUGGGCGCAAGCCUGAUGCAGCGACGCCGCGUGAGGGAUGGAGGCCUUCGGGUUGUGAACCUCUUUCGCCAGUGAAGCAGGCCUGCCUCGUUUGUGGGUGGGUUGACGGUAGCUGGAUAAGAAGCGCCGGCUAACUACGUG